This 1530-nucleotide ribosomal RNA is filed under the name metagenome. Its description in RNAcentral is "bacterial LSU rRNA". It matches the Rfam family "Bacterial large subunit ribosomal RNA", at positions 1366 to 2925 of the family's 2925-position model. The record is from RNAcentral.
UGAUCUUCCCUGGGUAAGUCGGGGCCUAAGGCGAGGGCGAGAGCCGUAGUCGAUGGAUAACAGGUUGAAAUUCCUGUACUGCUUAUGGACAGAACUGUGGGGACGCAGAAGGAGAGCACGAGCCGGAAAUGGAAAAGCCGGUACAAGCGUAUAGCAGUCAUGCAGGCAAAACCGCAUGAAAAAUGUAAAGCGUUAUGUGGAUCGAACAUUAGUAGGGAAGCGUGUGAGCCAGCUGCCAAGAAAAGCCGCUAUUGUUUCAUAAGUACCCGUACCGUAAACCGACACAGGUGGAUGAGGAGAGAAUCCUAAGGCCGGCGGGAGAAGUGUUGUUAAGGAACUCGGCAAAAUGACUCCGUAACUUCGGGAGAAGGAGUGCCACAGAGAUGUGGCCGCAGAGAAAUGGCCCAAGCAACUGUUUAGCAAAAACACAGGUCUAUGCAAAACCGAAAGGUGAGGUAUAUGGGCUGACGCCUGCCCGGUGCUGGAAGGUUAAGAGGAGAGGUUAGAGCAAUCGAAGCUUUGAAUUUAAGCCCCAGUAAACGGCGGCCGUAACGAUAACGGUCCUAAGGUAGCGAAAUUCCUAGUCGGGUAAGUUCCGACCCGCACGAAAGGCGUAAUGAUUUGGGCACUGUCUCAACAACACACCCGGUGAAAUUGAAAUACCAGUGAAGAUGCUGGUUACCUGCGCCAGGACGGAAAGACCCCAUGGAGCUUUACUCCAGUUUGAUACUGGGAUACGGUACUGUCUGUACAGGAUAGGUGGGAGGCUAGGAAAUGGUGACGCCAGUUGCCAUGGAGCCAACCUUGGGAUACCACCCUUACAGUACUGGGUUUCUAACCUGCAGCCGUAACCCGGCUGGGGGACAAUGUCUGACGGGGAGUUUGACUGGGGCGGUCGCCUCCGAAAGAGUAUCGGAGGCGCUCAAAGGUUCCCUCAGAACGGUUGGAAACCGUUCGAAGAGUGCAAAGGCAGAAGGGAGCUUGACUGCGACACCGACGGGUGGAGCAGAUACGAAAGUAGGACUUAGUGAUCCGGUGGUAUAAAGUGGGAUUGCCAUCGCUCAACGGAUAAAAGCUACCCUGGGAUAACAGGCUUAUCACUCCCAAGAGUUCACAUCGACGGAGUGGUUUGGCACCUCGAUGUCGGCUCAUCGCAUCCUGGAGCUGUAGCAGGUUCCAAGGGUUGGGCUGUUCGCCCAUUAAAGCGGUACGCGAGCUGGGUUCAGAACGUCGUGAGACAGUUCGGUCCCUAUCCGGCGUGGGCGUAGGAUAUUUGAGAGGAGCUGUCCUUAGUACGAGAGGACCGGGAUGGACAAACCUCUGGUGUAUCUGUUGUUUUACCAAAGGCAUGGCAGAGUAGCCAAGUUUGGCAGGGAUAAACGCUAAAGGCAUCUAAGCGUGAAGCCCCCCUCAAGAUAAGAUAUCCCAUCUUCGGAGUAAGACCCCUUGAAGACUACAAGGUUGAUAGGCUUCAGGUGUAAGUGCGGUAACGCACUCAGCUGAGAAGUACUAAUAGGUCGAGGACUUAUC